Actinoplanes sp. SE50/110 is the source of this 91-nucleotide regulatory RNA element. It matches the Rfam family "ZMP/ZTP riboswitch aptamer (pfl RNA motif)". From Rfam's summary of the family: Previously known as pfl RNA. ZMP is also known as AICAR. NCBI's taxonomy places the organism in Bacteria, Bacillati, Actinomycetota, Actinomycetes, Micromonosporales, Micromonosporaceae. The record is from Rfam.
GGGACAGGCCGUGACUGGCGCGUUCGGAUGGUUGACCAUCGGGGAGCGGCCUCGUCGAGAUGACGACAUGCCGUGCGCCUGGGCCUCUUCA